RNAcentral lists this ribosomal RNA (518 nucleotides) under uncultured bacterium. Its description in RNAcentral is "bacterial SSU rRNA". It matches the Rfam family "Bacterial small subunit ribosomal RNA", at positions 349 to 858 of the family's 1533-position model. The record is from RNAcentral.
GAGCAGUAGGGAAUAUUGGACAAUGGGCGCAAGCCUGAUCCAGCCAUGCCGCGUGAGUGAAGAAGGCCUUCGGGUUGUAAAGCUCUUUUGUCCGGAAAGAAAAGCUUCGGGUCAAUACCCCGGAGUCCUGACGGUACCGGAAGAAUAAGCACCGGCUAACUUCGUGCCAGCAGCCGCGGUAAUACGAAGGGUGCAAGCGUUACUCGGAAUUACUGGGCGUAAAGCGUGCGUAGGUGGUUUGUUAAGUCUGAUGUGAAAGCCCUGGGCUCAACCUGGGAAUGGCAUUGGAUACUGGCAGGCUAGAGUGCGGUAGAGGGUAGUGGAAUUCCCGGUGUAGCAGUGAAAUGCGUAGAGAUCGGGAGGAACAUCUGUGGCGAAGGCGACUACCUGGACCAGCACUGACACUGAGGCACGAAAGCGUGGGGAGCAAACAGGAUUAGAUACCCUGGUAGUCCACGCCCUAAACGAUGCGAACUGGAUGUUGGGCUCAACUUGGAGCUCAGUAUCGAAGCUAACGC